RNAcentral lists this ribosomal RNA (490 nucleotides) under uncultured bacterium. RNAcentral describes it as "partial 16S ribosomal RNA". It matches the Rfam family "Bacterial small subunit ribosomal RNA", at positions 30 to 507 of the family's 1533-position model. The record is from RNAcentral.
AUUGAACGCUGGCGGCAGGCCUAACACAUGCAAGUCGAACGGUAACAGGAAGAAGCUUGCUUCUUUGCUGACGAGUGGCGGACGGGUGAGUAAUGUCUGGGAAACUGCCUGAUGGAGGGGGAUAACUACUGGAAACGGUAGCUAAUACCGCAUAACGUCGCAAGACCAAAGAGGGGGACCUUCGGGCCUCUUGCCAUCGGAUGUGCCCAGAUGGGAUUAGCUAGUAGGUGGGGUAACGGCUCACCUAGGCGACGAUCCCUAGCUGGUCUGAGAGGAUGACCAGCCACACUGGAACUGAGACACGGUCCAGACUCCUACGGGAGGCAGCAGUGGGGAAUAUUGCACAAUGGGCGCAAGCCUGAUGCAGCCAUGCCGCGUGUAUGAAGAGGGCCUUCGGGUUGUAAAGUACCUUCAGCGGGGAGGAAGGGAGUAAAGUUAAUACCUUUGCUCAUUGGCGUUACCCGCAGAAGAAGCACCGGCUAACUCCGUG